Molecule: transfer RNA, 82 nt
Filed under: Terriglobus roseus
Lineage: Bacteria; Pseudomonadati; Acidobacteriota; Terriglobia; Terriglobales; Acidobacteriaceae
Rfam family: tRNA
About the family: Transfer RNA (tRNA) molecules are approximately 80 nucleotides in length. Their secondary structure includes four short double-helical elements and three loops (D, anti-codon, and T loops).
Source: Rfam by way of RNAcentral
GCGGAGGUGGCGAAAUUGGCAGACGCACUAGCUUGAGGUGCUAGCGGGUAAUUCCAUACGGGUUCAAGUCCCGUCUUCCGCA